AGUGAACGCUGGCGGUAGGCCUAACACAUGCAAGUCGAACGGCAGCACAGUAAGAGCUUGCUCUUACGGGUGGCGAGUGGCGGACGGGUGAGGAAUACAUCGGAAUCUACUUUUUCGUGGGGGAUACGUAGGGAAACUUACGCUAAUACCGCAUACGACCUACGGGUGAAAGCAGGGGAUCUUCGGACCUUGCGCGAUUGAAUGAGCCGAUGUCGGAUUAGCUAGUUGGCGGGGUAAAGGCCCACCAAGGCGACGAUCCGUAGCUGGUCUGAGAGGAUGAUCAGCCACACUGGAACUGAGACACUGUCCAGACUCCUACGGGAGGCAGCAGUGGGGAAUAUUGGACAAUGGGCGCAAGCCUGAUCCAGCCAUACCGCGUGGGUGAAGAAGGCCUUCGGGUUGUAAAGCCCUUUUGUUGGGAAAGAAAAGCAGCAGGUUAAUACCCCGCUGUUCUGACGGUACCCAAAGAAUAAGCACCGGCUAACUUCGUG
Molecule: ribosomal RNA, 491 nt
Filed under: uncultured bacterium
Lineage: Bacteria
Description: partial 16S ribosomal RNA
Rfam family: Bacterial small subunit ribosomal RNA
Source: RNAcentral